This 48-nucleotide transfer RNA is filed under the name Diurodrilus subterraneus. RNAcentral describes it as "tRNA-Ser". The record is from RNAcentral. Lineage: Eukaryota; Metazoa; Annelida; Polychaeta; Eunicida; Diurodrilidae.
ACACUUUUAUUAGAUUUUGAAAAUCUUAAACGCCUUACGCAAUGUGUU